CCGCGGUGACGUCGCGAUCAGCCAUGAUGAUGCCACGGUGGCACCGUGACGGUGUCCCAGUGACGCCAUGAUCGUGUCGCGAUGACACUGCGAUGACGUCACGAUAACGUCACGAUGGUGUCGUGAUGGCAUCGCAAUGACACGGCGAUGACGUCACCAUCAUCCAUGGUGACACCAUGAUGACAUCACGAUGGCGCCACAACGGUGUCGCGAUAACGCCGCGAUGGUGUCAUGAUGACAUCGCGAUGAUGCCCCGAAGACGCCGCCAUCAUCCAUGACAACGCCACGAUGACAACAUGAUGACAUCAUGAUGGCGCCACAACGGUGUCGCGAUAACGCCGCAAUGGUGUCAUGAUGAUAUCGCGACAACGCCCCGAUGACAUCAUAAAUCAUCCAUGAUGACGUCACGAUAACUUCACAACAGCGCCGCGAUGACACCGCGAAGACGCCGCCAUCAUCCAUGACAACACCGUGAUGACAUCAUGAUGGUGCCACAACGGCGUCGCAAUAUGCCACAAUGGUGUCAUGAUGACAUCGCGACAUGCCCCAACGACGCCGAUGACGCCACGAUAAUUUCACAACGGCGCCGCGAUGACACCUCAAUGACACCGCCACCAUCCAUGACAACGCCACGAUGAUGCCAUGAUGACAUCAUGAUGGUGCCACAACGGUGUCGCGAUAACGCCGCGAUGGUGUCACGAUGAUAUCGCAACGACGCCCCAAUGACACCGCAAUCAUCCAUGAUGACGCCACGAUAACUUCACAACGGCGCCGCGAUGACGCCGCGAUGACACCGCCAUCAUCCAUGACAACACCAUGAUGACAUCACGAUGUCAAAUAUGCCAAAAUAGCGUCAUGAUGACAUCGCGACAUGCCCCAACGACGCCGAUGACGCCACGAUAACUUCACAACAGCGCCGCGAUGACGCCUCGAUGACACCGCCAUCAUCCAUGACAACGCCACGAUGACGCCAUGAUGACAUCACGAUGGCACCUCAACGGCGUCGCAAUAUGCCACAAUGGUGUCACGAUGAUAUCGCGACGACGCCCCAAUGACACCGCAAUCAUCCGUCAUGACGCCACAAUAACUUCACAACGGCGCUGCGAUGACACUGCGAAGACGCCGCCAUCAUCCAUGACAACACCGUGAUAACACCAUGAUGACACCAUGAUGUCAA
Molecule: long non-coding RNA, 1177 nt
Filed under: Anas platyrhynchos platyrhynchos (common mallard)
Lineage: Eukaryota; Metazoa; Chordata; Aves; Anseriformes; Anatidae
Description: lncRNA (ENSAPLG00000021020.1)
Source: RNAcentral